Molecule: ribosomal RNA, 281 nt
Filed under: uncultured bacterium
Lineage: Bacteria
Description: partial 16S ribosomal RNA
Rfam family: Bacterial small subunit ribosomal RNA
Source: RNAcentral
UCCACGCAGUAAACGAUGAAUGUUAGUCGUUGGAUAGCAAGUCUAUUCAGUGAUGCAGUUAACACAUUAAACAUUCCGCCUGGGGAGUACGGUCGCAAGAUUAAAACUCAAAGGAAAAGACGCAAUACCGCGAGGUGGAGCAAAUCUUUAAACCUUUUCUCAGUUCGGAUUGGAGUCUGCAACCCGACUCCAUGAAGCUGGAAUCGCUAGUAAUCGUGAAUCAGCCAUGUCACGGUGAAUACGUUCCCGGGUCUUGUACUCACCGCCCGUCACACCAUGGG